Molecule: non-coding RNA, 83 nt
Filed under: Acidobacteriota bacterium
Lineage: Bacteria; Pseudomonadati; Acidobacteriota
Description: Acidobacteria bacterium c-di-GMP sequence
Rfam family: c-di-GMP-II-GAG riboswitch aptamer
Source: RNAcentral
GUGCGGCGUUGAGGCUGUGACCUGAUCCCGCCUCUUGGUCACCCUGGAAUCAGGUAGUCAAUGGUGAAACCGGCAACGUGCAA